CGUAGGCGGUGUUUUAAGUGAGAUGUGCAAUCCCCGAGCUUAAACUUGGGAACUGCAUCUCAGACUGGAACGCUAGAGUACUGGAGAGGGUGGUAGAAUUCCACGUGUAGCGGUGAAAUGCGUAGAGAUGUGGAGGAAUACCAGUGGCGAAGGCGGCCACCUGGACAGUAACUGACGCUGAGGCGCGAAAGUGUGGGUAGCAAACAGGAUUAGAUACCCUGGUAGUCCACGCUGUAAACGAUGAACACUUGGUGUGGCGGGAGUUGACCCCUGCCGUGCCGUAGCUAACGCGAUAAGUGUUCCGCCUGGGGAGUACGGUCGCAAGGCUGAA
Molecule: ribosomal RNA, 331 nt
Filed under: uncultured bacterium
Lineage: Bacteria
Description: bacterial SSU rRNA
Rfam family: Bacterial small subunit ribosomal RNA
Source: RNAcentral